AAUUCGAAGAUACACGAAGAACCUUACCUGGCCUUGACAUGGUAGGAACCCUUAAGAGAUUAGGGGGUGCUAGCUUGCUAGAACCUACACACAGGUGCUGCACGGCUGUCGUCAGCUCGUGUCGUGAGAUGUUGGGUUAAGUCCCGCAACGAGCGCAACCCUCGUCCUUAGUUGCUAACAGUUCGGCUGAGCACUCUAGGGAGACUGCCUUCGCAAGGAGGAGGAAGGUGAGGACGACGUCAAGUCAUCAUGGCCCUUACGGCCAGGGCUACACACGUGCUACAAUGGGGCGUACAGAGAGCUGCGAUACCGCGAGGUGGAGCCAAUCUCUUAAAGCGUCUCUCAGUUCGGAUUGUUCUCUGCAACUCGAGAACAUGAAGCUGGAAUCACUAGUAAUCGCAGAUCAGCUAUGCUGCGGUGAAUACGUUCCCGGGUCUU
This 438-nucleotide ribosomal RNA is filed under the name uncultured Sulfuricurvum sp. RNAcentral's name for it is "bacterial SSU rRNA". It matches the Rfam family "Bacterial small subunit ribosomal RNA", at positions 948 to 1382 of the family's 1533-position model. Lineage: Bacteria; Pseudomonadati; Campylobacterota; Epsilonproteobacteria; Campylobacterales; Sulfurimonadaceae. The record is from RNAcentral.